This is a long non-coding RNA of Passer domesticus (house sparrow), 1247 nucleotides long. RefSeq lists it as uncharacterized. The record is from RefSeq and is a predicted model, not a curated record. NCBI's taxonomy places the organism in Eukaryota, Metazoa, Chordata, Aves, Passeriformes, Passeridae. The transcript has 5 exons.
GAAUAUACAUUAAAAUAAGUGCCUAGACAGAAGGAGCAGGAGACAAAAGGAGUUAUUCCCCAGACAAGCAGUCUACGGAAGCAAAAAGGAUCAGCUAAUCUCUGCUGGGUCACUUCAGUUCAGUUCUGGUCACAAGCAGCAUUUUGUGCAGCUCCAGGAUCCACGAUGGGGACAUCCGGACCUGGGCACCAAACACACACUUGUCAAUCACCUGUUUCCUUUUUGAUUCUUGACGUAUACACACUUCAGAGACAUCCUUAGAGAAAUAAAUUUAUGGCACCUGAAUGUUUCUCUGAUAAACGACAGCCAUGGCAGGAAAGCAAUACUCCAAGCAACCUUUUGUACUCUCCCAAAGAGCAUCAUUAUAGACCUGACUGUUCCAGAGGAAUGACUGAGCAACAGGAUGUAUUCUCACAUUCCAGAAUUAUGGAAUUUAUUCACUAGGCCCAAUGGAUAAUUCACUUCUAUUCAGAGCUAGUCCCCCAAACACCACUACCAGCACCAACAACCGUGUCUCAUGGAAAGGCUGCAGGGCAGGUCCCCUGCUGAAGCUGAGGAGGAAUCUGCAUAGCUCUGCCAAGGAGAGCUCUUCCUGAGAUAUUUGAUCUAGACCACAAGGAAAACCUUGCAAAGAGAAUAGCAGUGCACCCCCAACAGAGAAAGCUACACCUGGGCUAUGUGAAAAACACAGCCAAAAUCCUUUCCGACCUUGGAGAGGAUCUUACAGGUCAUGGAUUCACGUAAACAAUACUGUUACUAAGCAAAUGAAGACUUCUUCUGAGCACUUCUCUGAGGAAGUUACAAACAAAACUAAUUUAUUUGGUCUGGUCCUCAUUUAAAGGCCAUUCUUUUGACAUGUUCAAGGGUGAUCCCUGAACUGCACUCCAAAGGAAAGACAGGGAAUUGUAGAUGUGCCCAAGCUAUCCAGGUCAAGGCCCUGGUUCAAGCUACCUAGAUCAAAUACCUACAGAAUGUUGCAAGGGGAUGCAAAGCAAAACUGAAUCAAGGAAUAGAGUUUUCACAAAAGAGUAUAAAGGAACUUGAACAUCAAGAAUGAACUGUUCUUUAAGCAAAGUGGGCUCCUCCAAAAAUAUACUGAGCUCAUGGAGUGUUCUGAACUCCUCUGUGUUCAAUGACAUCUGCCAGAGGCUUCAUGUGCUACUAGAUCAUUUCAUGCAAAGAGUUAAAACACCCCAUUAAUCCAUUUCACAGCCUAAGGAGUUAUGAGAAAACGAGUUACCUUUUCU